UACGUAGGGUGCAAGCGUUGUCCGGAAUUAUUGGGCGUAAAGAGCUCGUAGGCGGUUUGUUGCGUCGGCCGUGAAAACCUGCAGCUUAACUGUGGGCCUGCGGCCGAUACGGGCAGACUUGAGUUCGGUAGGGGAGACUGGAAUUCCUGGUGUAGCGGUGAAAUGCGCAGAUAUCAGGAGGAACACCGGUGGCGAAGGCGGGUCUCUGGGCCGAUACUGACGCUGAGGAGCGAAAGCGUGGGGAGCGAACAGG
This 253-nucleotide ribosomal RNA is filed under the name uncultured bacterium. Its description in RNAcentral is "partial 16S ribosomal RNA". It matches the Rfam family "Bacterial small subunit ribosomal RNA", at positions 524 to 776 of the family's 1533-position model. The record is from RNAcentral.